UGCUAUACAUGCAAGUCGAACGCUUCUUUUUCCACCGGAGCUUGCUCCACCGGAAAAAGAAGAGUGGCGAACGGGUGAGUAACACGUGGGUAACCUGCCCAUCAGAAGGGGAUAACACUUGGAAACAGGUGCUAAUACCGUAUAACAAUCAAAACCGCAUGGUUUUGAUUUGAAAGGCGCUUUCGGGUGUCGCUGAUGGAUGGACCCGCGGUGCAUUAGCUAGUUGGUGAGGUAACGGCUCACCAAGGCCACGAUGCAUAGCCGACCUGAGAGGGUGAUCGGCCACAUUGGGACUGAGACACGGCCCAAACUCCUACGGGAGGCAGCAGUAGGGAAUCUUCGGCAAUGGACGAAAGUCUGACCGAGCAACGCCGCGUGAGUGAAGAAGGUUUUCGGAUCGUAAAACUCUGUUGUUAGAGAAGAACAAGGAUGAGAGUAACUGUUCAUCCCUUGACGGUAUCUAACCAGAAAGCCACGGCUAACUACGUGCCAGCAGCCGCGGUAAAAAGCUUC
RNAcentral lists this ribosomal RNA (513 nucleotides) under Enterococcus faecium. RNAcentral describes it as "bacterial SSU rRNA". It matches the Rfam family "Bacterial small subunit ribosomal RNA", at positions 45 to 529 of the family's 1533-position model. Lineage: Bacteria; Bacillati; Bacillota; Bacilli; Lactobacillales; Enterococcaceae. The record is from RNAcentral.